CAGCCGCCGCGGUAACACAGAGGGUGCAAGCGUUAAUCGGAAUUACUGGGCGUAAAGCGCGCGUAGGUGGUUUGUUAAGUUGGAUGUGAAAGCCCCGGGCUCAACCUGGGAACUGCAUCCAAAACUGGCAAGCUAGAGUACGGUAGAGGGUGGUGGAAUUUCCUGUGUAGCGGUGAAAUGCGUAGAUAUAGGAAGGAACACCAGUGGCGAAGGCGACCACCUGGACUGAUACUGACACUGAGGUGCGAAAGCGUGGGGAGCAAACAGGAUUAGAUACCCGCGUAGUCCCUGUCUCUUAUAC
RNAcentral lists this ribosomal RNA (301 nucleotides) under uncultured bacterium. RNAcentral describes it as "partial 16S ribosomal RNA". It matches the Rfam family "Bacterial small subunit ribosomal RNA", at positions 509 to 807 of the family's 1533-position model. The record is from RNAcentral.